CUACGGGGGGCAGCAGUGAGGAAUAUUGCACAAUGGGGGGAACCCUGAUGCAGAAACGCCGCGUGGAGGAUGACGCAUUUCGGUGUGUAAACUCCUUUUAUAUGUCAAGAAAAUGACGGUAGCAUAUGAAUAAGCACCGGCUAACUCCGUGCCAGCAGCCGCGGUAAUACGGAGGGUGCAAGCGUUACUCGGAAUCACUGGGCGUAAAGGACGCGUAGGCGGGUUGGAAAGUCAGGUGUGAAAUCCUACAGCUUAACUGUAGAACUGCACUUGAAACUUCUAAUCUAGAGUAUGGGAGGGGGAGAUGGAAUUCGUGGUGUAGGGGUAAAAUCCGUAGAUAUCACUAGGAAUACCUAAAGCGAAGGCGAUCUCCUGGAACAUUACUGACGCUAAGGCGUGAAAGCGUGGGGAGCAAACAGGAUUAGAUACCCUAGUAGUC
Molecule: ribosomal RNA, 439 nt
Filed under: uncultured bacterium
Lineage: Bacteria
Description: partial 16S ribosomal RNA
Rfam family: Bacterial small subunit ribosomal RNA
Source: RNAcentral